UUUUCUUCUAAUAAGUUAAAUAGAAAAAAUAAAAAAUAGAUUUAUUAAACAAUUACAAUAUAGAGCUAUGGUAUUUUGGUUUCCCUCCGCAUUUUUUUCACGAUUUUGUUUCACCCUAACCAAAACCCUUUGCUCUCACGUUCUGCGUUAUCUUCCGCCCUCCUCGUCGCUGAUCUUUAAUCUCUUCAUCAUCGUUGCUUGAAGCAGGCGAAUUGGAGAUUAAUGUUUCUGGAUUGGCGAUUGGGACUCUAAAUUGGCGAUACAGAAAAAUUGGCAAAUUUCGUUUCUGAAUUAGCGAGAAGAAUAAGGUUAGUUGUUAUGUAUCUCUUUGAAUUUGGUCUUAAAUUUUACGAUUUUGUUGGUUAAGUUAUCAAGCGAUUAUAAUUGAAUAUUUUUUUGUGUGGUUUUGAGAGCUAAGUUAGGGUUCUAGUAGGCAAGUAGGGUAAUUGGGGAAUUGGAGAUUGAUGCUUCUAAAUUGGCGAUUGGGACUCUGAGUUGGAUAUGCAGAUAAAUUAUCAAAUUGAGUUUCUGAAUUAGCGAGAAGAACAAGGAUGGUGCAUAUAUUCAAGAAUUACAAGCUACUUAAAAUGUGUGAAGAUUCGUAGGGUUUUUGGCACAUGAAUAUGAUAUAUGUUUUGAAAAAUAAAGUUAUCGGACAGUGAUCGCAGGAUUUUUUUUUAAUUUAAUGGAUUUAGUUUUAGAACCUAUAUUUUUUUUACUAUUCAAACAAUUGUAACAGAUAUUAUGCUUAUGAAAUUAAGCUAUUUGAAAUGUAUACAUUUUUUGAA
Spinacia oleracea (spinach) is the source of this 788-nucleotide long non-coding RNA. RefSeq lists it as uncharacterized. The transcript has 2 exons. NCBI's taxonomy places the organism in Eukaryota, Viridiplantae, Streptophyta, Magnoliopsida, Caryophyllales, Amaranthaceae. The record is from RefSeq and is a predicted model, not a curated record.